AUUGAACGCUGGCGGCAGGCUUAACACAUGCAAGUCGAGCGGGGGAAGGUAGCUUGCUACCGGACCUAGCGGCGGACGGGUGAGUAAUGCUUAGGAAUCUGCCUAUUAGUGGGGGACAACAUCUCGAAAGGGAUGCUAAUACCGCAUACGUCCUACGGGAGAAGGCAGGGGAUCUUCGGACCUUGCGCUAAUAGAUGAGCCUAGGUCGGAUUAGCUAGUUGGUGGGGUAAAGGCCUACCAAGGCGACGAUCUGUAGCGGGUCUGAGAGGAUGAUCCGCCACACUGGGACUGAGACACGGCCCAGACUCCUACGGGAGGCAGCAGUGGGGAAUAUUGGACAAUGGGGGGAACCCUGAUCCAGCCAUGCCGCGUGUGUGAAGAAGGCCUUAUGGUUGUAAAGCACUUUAAGCGAGGAGGAGGCUACUCUAGUUAAUACCUAGGGAUAGUGGACGUUACUCGCAGAAUAAGCACCGGCUAACUCUGUGCCAGCAGCCGCCGUAA
RNAcentral lists this ribosomal RNA (501 nucleotides) under uncultured bacterium. RNAcentral describes it as "partial 16S ribosomal RNA". It matches the Rfam family "Bacterial small subunit ribosomal RNA", at positions 30 to 523 of the family's 1533-position model. The record is from RNAcentral.